Molecule: ribosomal RNA, 234 nt
Filed under: uncultured bacterium
Lineage: Bacteria
Description: partial 16S ribosomal RNA
Rfam family: Bacterial small subunit ribosomal RNA
Source: RNAcentral
CGGACGGGUGAGUAAUGUCUGGGAAACUGCCUGAUGGAGGGGGAUAACUACUGGAAACGGUAGCUAAUACCGCAUAACGUCGCAAGACCGAAAGACGGGGGACCUUCGGGCCUCUUGCCAUCGGAUGUGCCCAGAUGGGAUUAGCUAGUAGGUGGGGUAACGGCUCACCUAGGCGACGAUCCCUAGCUGGUCUGAGAGGAUGACCAGCCACACUGGAACUGAGACACGGUCCAG